This 562-nucleotide ribosomal RNA is filed under the name Ochrobactrum sp. EC_E18. Its description in RNAcentral is "bacterial SSU rRNA". It matches the Rfam family "Bacterial small subunit ribosomal RNA", at positions 85 to 682 of the family's 1533-position model. The record is from RNAcentral. Lineage: Bacteria; Pseudomonadati; Pseudomonadota; Alphaproteobacteria; Hyphomicrobiales; Brucellaceae.
CGCAAGGGGAGCGGCAGACGGGUGAGUAACGCGUGGGAAUCUACCUUUUGCUACGGAACAACAGUUGGAAACGACUGCUAAUACCGUAUGUGCCCUUCGGGGGAAAGAUUUAUCGGCAAAGGAUGAGCCCGCGUUGGAUUAGCUAGUUGGUGAGGUAAAGGCUCACCAAGGCGACGAUCCAUAGCUGGUCUGAGAGGAUGAUCAGCCACACUGGGACUGAGACACGGCCCAGACUCCUACGGGAGGCAGCAGUGGGGAAUAUUGGACAAUGGGCGCAAGCCUGAUCCAGCCAUGCCGCGUGAGUGAUGAAGGCCCUAGGGUUGUAAAGCUCUUUCACCGGUGAAGAUAAUGACGGUAACCGGAGAAGAAGCCCCGGCUAACUUCGUGCCAGCAGCCGCGGUAAUACGAAGGGGGCUAGCGUUGUUCGGAUUUACUGGGCGUAAAGCGCACGUAGGCGGAUUUUUAAGUCAGGGGUGAAAUCCCGGGGCUCAACCCCGGAACUGCCUUUGAUACUGGAAGUCUUGAGUAUGGUAGAGGUGAGUGGAAUUCCGAGUGUAGCGGU